RNAcentral lists this ribosomal RNA (512 nucleotides) under uncultured Acidobacteriota bacterium. RNAcentral's name for it is "bacterial SSU rRNA". It matches the Rfam family "Bacterial small subunit ribosomal RNA", at positions 392 to 896 of the family's 1533-position model. The record is from RNAcentral. Lineage: Bacteria; Pseudomonadati; Acidobacteriota.
CAACGCCGCGUGGAGGAUGAAGGUCUUCGGAUUGUAAACUCCUGUCAGUGGGAAAAAGGGGAACGUGCUCGUACCACGUUUCAUUGAUUGUACCCGCAGAGGAAGCCCCGGCUAACUCUGUGCCAGCAGCCGCGGUAAUACAGAGGGGGCAAGCGUUAUUCGGAAUUAUUGGGCGUAAAGGGCGCGUAGGUGGCCCUUCAAGUGGUAGGUGAAAUCCCUCGGCUUAACCGAGGAGCUGCCCGCCAAACUGAAGAGCUUGAGUCCGGGAGAGGUGAGUGGAAUUCCCAGUGUAGCGGUGAAAUGCGUAGAUAUUGGGAGGAACACCAGUGGCGAAGGCGGCUCACUGGACCGGAACUGACGCUGAGGCGCGAAAGCGUGGGGAGCAAACGGGAUUAGAUACCCCGGUAGUCCACGCUGUAAACGAUGAGUGCUUGGUGUAGCGGGUAUCGACCCCUGCUGUGCCGAAGCUAACGCAUUAAGCACUCCGCCUGGGGAGUACGGUCGCAAGGCUG